Non-coding RNA from Taeniopygia guttata (zebra finch), 2992 nucleotides. Lineage: Eukaryota; Metazoa; Chordata; Aves; Passeriformes; Estrildidae. The record is from RefSeq and is a predicted model, not a curated record.
UAAGCGUACGAUCCUUCUGUCAGCUCUUUCUCUUCUUUUCGGCUUUAUCCUGUGGGAAGUAGCUUUACAUUCUGAUUCAGACUACAAGGGAUUCUGCGAAAGCUGAAUUUCUGCACUGGCCGUGCUUAUUCUGCAGCGUGUGUCACACUCCCUGCGGUGAGGGCUAAGUUCUCCCUAUUUUGUGCAGCCUCUGUCUAAUGCAGACAAAAUUCCUCCUUCCCACAAGGAUUCCAGGAGAAAGCAAAGGCAGAGAGCAAGGGCAAGUGGAGACAAGCAAUGCAGUUUACCUUGGACUCCCUGUUUUGAAACACUUACCAAGCUCACUGAAGUAAUAGUUGUGAUUUGGCUGAAUAACAAAAUCCAUAUCCUGCCCAGUUCUCAAAAGUGCAGUAAACAGUGCAGAAUUCUUCUUUUCCUUUUGCCUUAAUAAUGUCACUGCUUAGUUCUUGGUUACAGGUAUUCAUGAUGAUACGGUGGGGCAGAAAUACACAGGAGUCCAGAGUGUUUUGAAGUGGCUCUAGGAGUCACUGAAAUAAUGACCUAUAUUGGUAUAGGAAACUUUUUUCCUGACCAUUUUUAUCCUCAGAGUGCUUUACAGACCUGAGAGCUGCAUCUCUUUGAACUGUGGCAAUGCAGAGCAGAAAGCAGCUUCUCCAGCUGAGGCUGCAGGGAACACUCUGCUAUGUGAGGACUGGAAGGAUAAGCAGAGCUUCUCACCCAUAUCUGGAUAAAGGAUUGCAUGUUAACGUGCUUUCCCUUUCUUCCCCUCCCUUCCAGUCCCCUCCCAAAUGGAUAUGGCAGUGAAAGAAGGAUGAAGACAGCAGAUAGGAAAAACAGAAAACGAAAAGAAAAAGGAGACUUUCUUCUUCACAUGUAAAUUUUCUGGAGUUUAAAGACACAUGACUUUGAUGUUACUGAAGAUUGUGUCAUAAUCAUCAAAUGGAGCUGGUGCCAAAUAAACCAGAUGGAGCUUUCAAUCAACAAACUGCAUUUAUUAUUGAUAUCUGUGGCUUAUUUGUUUUACAUGCACCUUCUAACAGGAUCAGGUAAGAAAAAAUAUCUGCUCCCAGAGAAAAAAGAGAGCUAUUAGAAGCCUCACCUUAUUAUUUGACCUGACAGCACAAAUAGAUGAUGGGAAAAAGUCAAAGUACAAGACACAACUCCAAGUGGAAGGAAUUUGUUUGAUGCUUUCUGCUGGAGCAGAAGGUGGCAUGAAUUAUUAUUUCAUCCUCACAUACUAUGAAAAAUUUCAGAGUAAUUUUAUUUAUCUGUGCACAUAUUACUCCUUAAUUAUUGUCGAUUACAUUGCUCUACUAGCACAUUUCCUUUUUUGUCUCUUUGCAAGAACAUAUAUAAUUUUAUUGAAUAUAUAGCUUUACUUGUGUCUAUAUCAUAUUACGUUUAUAUACGCCUUUGUAUAUAUUGUAUUACAUUUUGCCUGUAGUAUGAAAGAGACUAAAACUAAGGAUUUUGAUGGGUAACCAAUACAUGUCACUUUUUUGUAUGAGGCAUGGCAUAAAAAAACCCUAUAGCUUUGACUCACUUUGGCCUUCUAGAGACAUGAAGAGACAUAAAGAAUACGUAUCUAAAGAAAGAAUAAACUGUUUUUUAAUUGCUUUUAUUUGGAUUUUUUUUCCAAAUGCCUCUUUUUUGUUUCCUUUUUUUUUUUUUAGUGAUAGUCCCUGUCUUUUCUGCUAAGUAAAGAUGGAUAAUCCAAAAUAAUACGCCCCAUGUUUCUUUUAGCAUUUGAAUGUAUGAAAAAACAUGUUGCUUCUCUGAAAGUUGUUCAGUCUUGCAUGUAAUUUCCUCUUAUCUUCUCUUUAUUCACAUGUGUUCUCCUAAGAGAAGAAAAAUAUCUGUUUGUGGUCUAGGAUGUAUUUUUGUUUUUGAGACAGAUAAAAAUUAUGUAUGCCAAAUGUUUUCAUGUUUAUAGAGAACAAACAAUCUUACACAUUCCUUCCCUGUGCCUGUACAACUCCCUUUCAAUCAGCUCUCUGCACUCCUAUAACUUUGGAGGCUUUCUGCCCCACUUGCUUGAGGCUGCAGGCAUAGAUUGGAGCCACUUCCUUUGCCCUUCUGAAUAUAAAGAAAUUAGAACACAGAAACAAGGAUAUUUCCAUUUAAUUUUAAUAUUUUGAUUUCCUAGACAAAACUUCUGAAAAAAAAUCUGAAUUUUGCCUUACUGUGUGGAAUGGUAGUAGAAUUUCAUGGUAAUGAGUGGAAUGAAUUGUAAUGGGUGGUUUUCAUACUUGAUGCAGUAAAUAGAUUUAAUAUAUCAGUGCAAUUCAUAUGAUAUGUGAUUUUCCAAUGAAAUUUCUAACAAAUGAAAGACUGAGUUUAAGACUGACAUAUGAGGACUGUUCCAUAGAAUUCAGAUUCUGCAUGAGAAGUUAGUAUCUGAGUAUGGGGGAGUCACCUCUGUGGAUUGAUCUGGUGGGCCCAGUCCAGUGCCACUCACCUCUCCACACCCAGCACUGUAAUCACCAAGUCUCUAUACAGAGCAGAAGAGUUAAGCAAUCAGGAUGACUUAACUAUCAACUUGACCUUUAAGAUCCCUUCAGAGCAGGUUUGAUCCACACUGAUUUACUUUAUCCUUCAAACCAUCAGAUCUGUAUUAAAACCCUGAUUGACCAGAAGUAAUUAUUUGGUGCCUUAUAUUAGCAAUGUCCCAAGGCCCAAGAUGAAAACUGGGGAUGAAAGUCACACCUUACUGAAGUCAAAGGGAGGAUUACUUUCAGUGGAACUGGGAUUUCACCCAGAAAACCAUACCAACAGUGUUUGGGUCCUAUUUAUGUCUGAAGGAACAUGAAUCUUUCUAUGGUGCCCAUUAUAUUAUGUAAAAGGUAUCUCACAAGCUACUCUGAUAUAUUCAUUUAAAACCAGGAGAUUUCAUUAAAAAAAAAAAAGUAAAGUGAUGGCAUAAAUGAUGUACUGGUUUACUACAAAAUGCUGUGCCACCUGAUAGGAGAAAUAUAUUCUGUCAUUCCUUUAA